This 68-nucleotide transfer RNA is filed under the name Gunungiella acanthoclada. Its description in RNAcentral is "tRNA-Glu". It matches the Rfam family "tRNA". From Rfam's summary of the family: Transfer RNA (tRNA) molecules are approximately 80 nucleotides in length. Their secondary structure includes four short double-helical elements and three loops (D, anti-codon, and T loops). Lineage: Eukaryota; Metazoa; Arthropoda; Insecta; Trichoptera; Philopotamidae. The record is from RNAcentral.
AUUUAAAUAGUUUAUUUAAAACAUUACAUUUUCAAUGUAAAAUUAUAUGACCCUACAUAUUUUAAAUU